AGUGAACGCUGGCGGUAGGCCUAACACAUGCAAGUCGAACGGCAGCACAGUAAGAGCUUGCUCUUAUGGGUGGCGAGUGGCGGACGGGUGAGGAAUACAUCGGAAUCUACCUUUUCGUGGGGGAUAACGUAGGGAAACUUACGCUAAUACCGCAUACGACCUUGGGUGAAAGCAGGGACCUUCGGGCCUUGCGCGGAUAG
This 200-nucleotide ribosomal RNA is filed under the name uncultured bacterium. RNAcentral describes it as "partial 16S ribosomal RNA". It matches the Rfam family "Bacterial small subunit ribosomal RNA", at positions 29 to 224 of the family's 1533-position model. The record is from RNAcentral.